GGUCGCAUGGUCUAGCUGGUUAGGACGCCUGCCUGUCACGCAGGAGAUCGCGGGUUCGAUCCCCGCUGUGACCG
RNAcentral lists this transfer RNA (74 nucleotides) under Leuconostoc mesenteroides. RNAcentral's name for it is "tRNA-Asp". It matches the Rfam family "tRNA". Rfam says of the family: Transfer RNA (tRNA) molecules are approximately 80 nucleotides in length. Their secondary structure includes four short double-helical elements and three loops (D, anti-codon, and T loops). Lineage: Bacteria; Bacillati; Bacillota; Bacilli; Lactobacillales; Lactobacillaceae. RNAcentral also lists the same sequence under 5 other names. The record is from RNAcentral.